This is a non-coding RNA of Ictidomys tridecemlineatus (thirteen-lined ground squirrel), 9379 nucleotides long. NCBI's taxonomy places the organism in Eukaryota, Metazoa, Chordata, Mammalia, Rodentia, Sciuridae. The record is from RefSeq and is a predicted model, not a curated record.
CCAAGGCCCCUCUCUGUCCUCCUGAGCGACUCCCUCUGGUCCCUCAUCCACCACAGCAGGCGUGGCCACCGCUGCCACACCUACUCCUUUUUCUUCCGUGACAGCCACCCACGCUGCUGGUUCGAGUUCCUCUGAGGGUGGCCCAUAACCUGGCCUUGUUGCUGCCUCAGUGGGUUUGGCAGUGCAUGCCCCACCCACCGAAGUAACCCCAGGGAGAUGCACACAGUAGCCUUCUAAUUCUCUUGCUUUUGCCUUAGUGCCUUAGAUAUGAGACCUUUUGGAGAGGCAGAGGCACUGCCGACAGACCCCGAAAACCAUUAGCCAUGCCUGAGGAAUAUAGGGAGCUCACACUUUCACUUGUAAGACAUUUUGCCAUCAAGGAGCAGUGCCAAGCAACUACCAUAAUUUUUUUUCUUUUUUGUUUUUCAAUAACCACGUGAAAAUGAUCUGUGGGCUCAUGUGUUCUGAUUUGAUCUUCAUACAAAGAGUAUGGCUUUCUACAGAUGCAGUGUUCCGAGCAAGACUCCUAGAGUCUGCAGUUUGGUGACCAGGAAAGGGUAGCUGUGUAGGCCAGUGAGCUUUUGUAGCUCUCUAGUUUAAGCCACCCUUUUGCAGGGGCAGUUCACUUUUUAGUGUCAGGGCUUCUUGGUUGAUUAGACUCAUGGAAAAACUCAACUUUUGUUUUCUUUCUCCUUUUUUCAUUUUUUGCUUUGGGUAUUAUAAAACAUUUUCCCUGUGCCUACUGCUACCUGCCAAGAGCCACCAUGUUUGUAGUUUUCAUUUUUCACUCCUUUAGUGUGGAAACCCACAGAGACUUUGAGAAGGUGUUUUAGAAUUCUGCAUUACAUUUCUGAUGCAAAGCCAAAAUUUCUGUGAGUCAGUACUUCUCAACAUUUAUUACCUCUUUAAGAACCAUUUUUAGACACUUUUACCUAAUUGCACCCACCAUGCAAUUUUAAUAUCACAGAAAUAUCAUUUAUGUACUUCAUAUAUAAUCUAUAUGUAGAUAUAUGUCAAAUAUAAAAAUAUAUAUUCUGUGCCUAAAAGGAGUAUAAUUUGUCUCACCUCAAAGACAUCUGUUUUUUUCCCUUUUGAAAAUACAGGCUGUAAGAUUAGGUUGUGCUUGUUAAAGAUUCAAGACAUGACAAAAUCCUUUAUUUUCCAAAGGAGGGAAGAAAAUGGGCUGUUUUUUGUCUCCAUGGUAAUUUUUAAUUGUAUAAUUUAGGGCCUUUCUAGAUUUCAGAAAAGGGAUGGCUUAUUCUUUUUUUAAAAAUUAUUUAUUCAGUUGUAAGCUUGGCAAUUGUUUUCUGAUUUUCAAUUAUGUCUGUUUUCCUUUUAAUAAAAUCUUCCAUUUCUGCAAUUUUCCUUUCUGCCUUUCUUUUCUUUUCCUUCCUUUGUCUCUCAAAGAUCAUUGGAUGUUAUCAUCUCUAUCCUUUCCUUUCUUUAUUUUACUGUGUUUCAUUGGAUCAUCUAAGAAUAUGUUUUUUGGAUUAAUUUCCCAAGUAUAUUGCAGAAUGAGAUUUUUAAAAAUUUAUUUUGACCAAUUCAUCUUUAUUUCUUCUAACCUCAGACUUAGAAAUAUUUUUGUGAUAAGUUAAUAGAAUAAGAGAAAAUCCCACUUGAUAUGCAAGGUAAAUUUCAUUUGUAGCACCCUGUUCCCAAGAAGCUAAAUUACUACCAUUAAAAAGUCAUGUCUUAUCACUACACCCUGUAACUCAUCCUCAUGAUAAAGAUCCUUUGGGCUCCAUUUUGUAGUUCUCUGAUUUCUUAGCUGUUUAAAACACAAGCAAUAUUUUAUUACUCCUUCUAUAAUUGUUGUGUUACUGUGUUUAAUUUGAUAAGGGGGGAUGUGACAUAGAAGUCUGCCUGAAGCUUAGCUUCUGUACCCUGUAACUAUAGUAUUUGAUAAGAUAACCCAUCUAUUUUGCUGUUUUCCUUAUUUGUGAAAUAGGCUUAUAGUCGUUAAAUAGAUUGUGGUGAAGAGUUAAUGCGGUGUGUUUUGUAUUGUGCCUAGCACCCAACAGAUACUUAUUAAAACUUAGGCACCUCAAAUUUACUCUAGUUCCAGCAGCUCAGGUCUCAAGGGCCCAGGUAUCAGUGUUGAGACCUGGGCCAGCAUUGUGCUGGGAUCAUGUUCCUACAUCAUCCUUUUCCAUUGACCCAGAUGAGAACCUGACAGGAUUCCCUUGAUCUCCAUCUACCAGCCUAGGUGAAGGCAUCUAGGCUAAAGCCCUUGGAGAGUGCUAGGUGGGAUCUUAGCAGACAGACCAUUCCUUACCCAUUUGAUUAAUCUUGCCAUCUGCUUAUUGUGUCAACCGAAAUAGCUGAGCUAGAUGUUUAAGAAUGCUAGCCUAGCACUCUGUCUGCAUCUUAUGAGUUUUAAGCAGGUAAAAGAACAAACAAAAUAUUCCAACUGGAAAGAGGGAUAAAUCAGUGUUAAAAAGACUGAGGAAGGUGGUAUUUCUUCCCUCUGUUUUGUUCUUCUUUCUGAUUCAUUAUAACUGAGGCGAUACUUCCAAAGAAACAACUUACUAUGUAAUGAGGGAAAGCAUACACUUCUAAGCUGUGUGUUAUCCUGCAGGUUUUAUUCUGACUUUUAAGCCCCAAUGCUCCUCUGACAUAGUAGAUUUGGUGUUCUUCUCUUUAGAGGAAAACUUUUCAGAUAAAACAGUGGGGUGUGGAAGAAAGCAGACAGAGGGAAGGGGGCCGUGACCAUAAUUAUGUUUUCCCUGCUCUCCACACCCUUGUUCUGUAGAACUCUUUGGUUUUGGUGCCAACCAGGAACUCAAAGUUUGCCUCUUUCCCCAGCCUGUAAUCAUGAGGGUGGGAAGAGUAAGCAGGUCCUAGGUCCUAGGUGAUAUUAGCUAAUAGCACAGUGCUUCUGCUGCUCUGUAAAGGAAGCUAGGCAAGGUAGUGAACUGGGAAAAAAAAGAGGCCUAGGAAAUUGGCAACCUGGGAUCAGCUCUGAAUAUGUGAUUCAUGUUUACUCUUUAAUUUUCAUGCCUCCUUGUGUCACAUGAAAGACUUCAGGCAGCCAGGAGAUGGAUAGAAUUCCUAGGUGUUGGUUCUGGCUGGGGAUGUGGCAGGGCUGGGAGGUAGGAGGUGUUCUGCACAGGUGCUGGGUUCAGCAAACCCUGCUGGAGCCUGAAAACUAGCAAGGAGUAAAGGGUUCCUGAGCCCCACAGCCUGGCAUAUCUGAAAUUGAACAGUUGGGCUGGAGAUGGCUUUCACCAGGAGUCACUUGUGUAACAUAUAAAACGCCUGCGUGGGGACUGGCGACCCCAUUCAGGGACGUUAUUUUCUAGACUCCUGAGGCUUUACAUAUAUGAGGCUGCCUCAUUGCUAAGAGUCCUUCUACAUGAUUAAGAGAAUGGACACAUUCCCCGUCUCGGUUUCAGGCCCGGAUGAGCUGCUUGCCACCUGUGUGCCUUCUGGAAGUUACUUUUACUUCCCUGUGCUCAGUGUCCUUGUCUGUAAAAUAGAGAUGACAGGGUUAUCGUGAAAACUAAACAAGUUAUAGACAUAGACCUCUCAGAAGAGUUUUGACACUUAAGUGGUCAGUAAAGGUCGACUGUUCUUAUGUGAGUAGGGGAUGCCCAAGGCGUGGGGUAAAAAUUGAAGUAUGAUAUACCAUUCAGCAUAUUUCAGGGGAAAUUGUACUGAGUUUCCUAGGCUAUGUGGUUUCAGGGAAUGAAUUAAUUCCGUGCAUUUCUGUAGCCUCCUUAAAUCCAAACAAAAGAACCACUGUAGCCUCAUUUCUAGAGCCCCAUCCAUGGGUGGGUGGGUGAGGGGUAACCUGUGAAACAGGUGGAAGAUCCAAGCCUAUGGGACUCUUUCUAGGGCUUAGACCUCCAGCCUCCCUGAGUCCUUUCCCACUGGAUUUUAAGCAUCCUGAGCCCCUUUUAGGAGGAAUGAGGAAAGCUGACACUUCCUUUCCACUGUUCUUCACUUUCCAGAGUCUCUUGGCCUCCCUUCCCCAGGUCGAGGAGACAUGGACAUGUUGUACUGGGAAUUUCUUGUCAGCGUUUAAGACCCUAGGAUGCAGUCCCAAGUUAGACAUGACAGUGGCUUAAGUCUUCUCCCUGGUACUAUUUUAUUGCUGGGAAUGUGCCGGCACAGCCAGUGGGCCCUUGGAUAGUAUGAAUGGGAGUCCCAAUAGUGGCAGAGAAGCCCCUGGCCCCCGCAGGAAUGUGUGGGUCUCCUGCUGGGGCCUAGACACCCACCUGGGAAUUUUGCUGUUGACUUUUUAUGCAGCUGGGGGCCACCCACUACUGCUCACCUUGCCCAGCUUCCUGGCCAGAAGACUGAUGCCCUGGCUUGUUCUCAGACCUGAACAUUAGGGAGGGGGCAGUGUAAGAACCUGGCCUUUGUCACUGAACCCUGGCUCUGCCAUCACUCAUUGAUUUCAAAAAAUUACCAAACUUCAGGAAUGCUCCAUUUUUCCACCUGGCAAGUGUGAGUGAGUGAUAAUUCUUGCUGCCUAGGGUGGUUUUGAGGAGUGUAUUUGACUCAUAUGUAAAAUACACUAGGUUUCAUAACUCCAUGAGUUGAAAUGAUGCAUGUCAAACACUGAGGCAGGUCAUGCAAAUGUGUCUCGAUACAAGGCAGCUUUAUAAAACAGAUGCUGUAGCACUGGGCACUUGGGAUCCCUCUGAACCCCUGACCAUAUCUGCGUAGCGUUGCUGGCACAUGCGCUCCCUUUAGGGUCUGCGGCCUCCUUCACAUUCUCAGGAGAUCUGAACAUUAAGAACCACAGCUCCAGAACAGGGCUUCCCAGUCUCAUCGCUGGUGACAUUUGGGACUGGAUCAUUCUUUGUGGUGGAACUGUCCUGUGCAGUUUAGGAUGUUCAGCACCAUCUCUGGCCUCUGCCCAUGAGGUGUCAUAAGCAUCCUUCUCUCCCUUCACAGUUGUGAUAACCAAAAAUGUCUCCAGACUUGGGCAACUGUUCCCUGGGAUGGGGGUGGGGCAGGCAGAAUUGUCCCCAGUUGAGAACAACUGCUUUAGAUGUUCGGACAGGUCUGGGAUAUAACUUCUUUUGUUAUGUUCACCUCUGUGUUAUCUUUUUCCUUUUUUGCACGUAGAAUAUUUUUUAAUUUAUAGUCAGUAGAUGCAGGUUAAGUGGGUUGCCUUCCUACCAGUGCACACAUAAGGCUGGGGCAGGUCUUGAGGUGGGUAUCUAAGAGCACUUUCAAUGCCUCUCUAAACAUCUCUGUCUUGAGCACUGGGUACUUAUUUGUGUGGCUAUGUUUGGGUGACUCCUGUCCUUAUAUAGUAGAUCAGAACUCCCAGUCCCCCAGGCUGUCCCCAGAGUGCUGGUUUCAUGUGAGGCAUGACUAAGUGUUUCAAGGGGAGAAAAGGCUUGUUCUAUCAAAUAGGCUGGGCAGAAACUCAGGCCACCAGAGCAGGUGGUGAGAUGCUCUAGAUGUUCUUCCCCAAACACACCUCUGAACCUAGGUUUCCCAAGCAUGCUUGGCCUUGGAACACUUAUCUUUGUACCGCACCUGGGACACCUUGAAGUCCUCAAAGACACACUCCGGUGUUAUUACAGACCUUCCACAAUGUCAUCUGAUUCCCAGGGUCUGGUGUCACUGAAGAGAUUGGCUGCUCGGCUUUAGACCUCCGUGCAGACUUACCGUGUUCUUAAAUCACACCUCUCUCAACCCAGUUCCCCCUCCCUAUCCCUGCAGCCUUUCAAGGUUGCUGGCAGAAUGAAGAAAACCCAAGUAAAGGAGGUGACAGUCAGACUUAUCACUUACCUCCAUGUGCUUUAAUUUCCUUUGCUUUUCUCUGUGUGUCUCCCGGGGUGGAUUUGGUAGAGUCUCAGCCUUCCUCGUUCCCAGUGGUCUGUAUUUGGCACGAAAUUGGUAUUUUUGCACCCCCAGCCCCAUAUUUUUUCCCUCUUAUAUUUGUAAAAUGAUGCUGUGUUGGUUUGGGGCAUUGGCAUUGGUUGAUUAAAAUAAAGAGCAUCACCAAACCUCCUUGACAUACAGUGUAACAUUUUACUUCAAAAAUUGUUUGAGCCCAGCAUGGUGGUGCACACCUAUAAUACCAGCUACUCAGGAGGCUGAAGGAGGUUUGCAAGUUUGAGGUCAGCCUGGGCAACUUAGCAAGACCCUGUUUUAAAAUAAAAAUUAAGAAGCUGGGAGUGUUGCUCGGUGAUAGAGCUUUUGUCUGACAUGUGUGAUGCUGUGGGUUCAACCCCUAGUACCCCCCUCCCAAAUAAAAGGUUGAUUGCUGAAAGUGGUGCCCCCUCUGGGUGUGGUGGGGAUUAGUGACUAUUUCACAGCAGGAAGGGCUAAGGCAGCUAUACUGAUAUGCCUUCUGCAGUCCCAGAGCAGGCUAGGCCCUACCCUGGGUUCACACUAAGCAUCAUUACUCUUCCUGGAUCUCCCAGAUCCACAUGUUGCAAAGCUCUGUGUGAUAAGGGGACAGACCCUGAAAAAGAGGAAUUGUCCCAGUGCUGUUAUGCUUGCCACAGCAUCUUAGACUCCAUCCUAAAUCUCCCCCUUACCCCCUCCUUCUCUCUCUCUCUCUCUCUCUUUUUUUUUUCCUGCAAGGUUCUGCCACCCUUCACCACUGGCAGCAGCUGGCCCAGCCUCACCUUGGGGGCAUCCUGGACCCCCGGCCCGGUGUGGUCACCAAGGGCUUCCGGACACUGGAUGUUGACCUGGAUGAAGUGUACUGCCUUAACGACUUUGAAGAAGAUGACACAGGUGACCACAUUUCUCUCCCGGGCCUAGCUACCUCCACGCCAGUUCAGCACCCAGAGACCUCAGGUGAGAGGUCCCGAGCACACGUGACUGUCUCAGGCAGCAGAAGUUACCCGAGCCGGCCUCAGGCUUCCCCAGAGGAGAUGCAGGAGAUGCCAGCAGCCACGGAGGAGGAGGAGGAGGAGGAGGAGGAGGGGUCUGGUGAGGGCACCACAAUAAGUCCUGUAAACCUGGCACCUUUACCAGAGGCAGAGUUCUGGGCCAUUCUCACUUCUGUUCCGGGCAUCAUCUGUAGUGGCUCUUUGUCUGUAGCUUCCGCUCGUCUGUGUGGGUGACAAUUAAAGCAUUCCCAUUGUGCCAUUCUGUUUUUUAAUACAGAGUCUCAUGCCUCCUUUUUGUAACAAAUGGGCGUAGCCCCUGCCCAUCUUGGAGGUGCAGGGAUUUUUAAAUGGGAGCAGGAGAGGCUGCUAAAAAGAAGUGGGUUAUCGGCCUUACAAGAACGUCAGGACCCUUCUUCCUGUUAUCGGUGUCGCCCCAUGUCUGAGGGGCAGAUUCUAGAGUGAUUUCCCGACUGAACGGGGCUGACCUGGGCAGUGCUAGGGGAAUUGUGAGUUCUGGGUCAUUCUGAAAGCAAAUGACAGAAUCUGUUACCUGCGGGUUGCACUGAGAGAGAGAGAAGCCCAGAAAACGUUCAGGAUCCAGACAACACUUGAUAGACCAGCCUUUUGACUUUAAUUACUUCAAUGAAGGCAUAUAUGUCACUUUCUUUCUAGCUUACACAUAUUCAAAGUGGAAUUUUUCAAAGUCAUUAACCAAAUAAACCCUAACAGAAUGUCAUUAAAUUCUUCCAGAGGACUCUAGAUGAAUCUAGAAAAGACAUUGAGCUGAUCUUGCCUCCCCACUCCCCUACCCUAGUCUCUGAAGGUGAGCCUGAGUUUGUAGAAUGACCCAUCUCAGUUGCCCCUAGAAUGGGAAGCUUUCUACUCAGGGCCCUGGGAGCAUGGGUCUGUGGUCACCAUAUGCCCCAGAUAGUUACCCUUUACUCUUCCUGGAUCUCCCAGAUCCACAUGCUGCAAAGCUCUGUGUGAUAAGGGGACAGACACUGAAAAAGUCCUGUCAUCCUUGUUACAUUUCUGAGUCACCACCUUUGAAGGAAGGACAUUCAUCUUUGUGAUUCACAAUUUUCAUCUGCAGAGACUCCAGCAUUCCCCACAAAAACACAAGGCAGGAAGGAACCAAGGUUCUUGGUGGUGUCUCCCAUCCCUUGGCUAAUUUCUGAUAGCUGUGGUCAAGAGACUUGAUUUGGGCCUGAUUUUUCUUUUUCCUUUGUUGUCAACUUCCAAGGAGUCAUAGGUAAAGUUGACAAUUGUUUAACAUUUAGAUUUAUUUAUGGUUUGAUUUUUUUAAAGCAAUUAAGUAACCAGAUUAAGUUUGUGCAAAAAUGAAGAUGCUUAUCUAUGUAGUAUCUACACAGUCAACAAAGGGCAACUGGCCGUGUUAGCCAUCCUACCCCUGUCCUAGUGGCCAUCUGGCAGGCAGGUGUCCUUGAAGAACAGUAUCUGAGUGACUUGUACUGAAAGGGUAGACAGUGCCUUCCCCACAGCUUUACAGGUAGAAGGUGAAUCCAGGAAGUUCAAGGACUACCACUGGGUGCAUCUUUGAGAAGUUGAACAGAAGCUAUCAUGUUGACAAACAACUUCUCUUGGAGGACCAAGGGAGAGAGGGAAGUGAUGAUGAGACUAAAGUCCCAACCAUAAGCACUGGUUUACAUAAAAAGGAAGGGAGCAGCUCCUGGUGGAAAGGAGCCAGGAAACUAAUCAUGAGGACUAAAAAGUCACCAUAAGCAGUGACCGUUCUUCCUAGGCCCUCCUUACUGAAACCUGCAGCAAAUCCACCCCAGCAACGUUAUUUGAGGUGAGGCAUGCACAGUUAUAGUUGAAACUGUAGAAGGGUCAGGCUCAAGAUAUGUGAAUUCAAAAAGGAAUUAUCUAGGUUGUUAAAAGUAAUUUAGGGAUGGUCUCAUUGUUUGAAUGACCUAGAGUUCUUUUGAACUUGUUUUCCUGAUAAGACCCAUCUCUAAAAGCUCAUCAGAGCGGGAAGGAUGUACUCUGACUUGGCUCUUUUUUUCUCUGUUGGGAAUGACAGAGCCAUUUUGAUGUUUGGAAUGUGGAAAGCAUUUUACUCUGUACAUAAAUCAUCCUCGAGGCUCCAGGUGGCUCUCUGUAUACAACCAGUGAGUCACAGGCAGACAGAUGAGCCUCGGUGGGAAGACUUGGGGCAUCCUCUGUUUGGGGAUUUGUAUCCAGCUGGUCUGGUCUCUGCUUUGGUCCAUCAUCCACACUUAGCCACAGUCCUGGGAUCCACCAUUCUCUCCAGGAAAAUUUUAUAGGGAGAAAUUUUGAAAACAAACUGAUUAACCUUUUUUCUUAACAACUGGUGUGAUGGGCAAACUGGGAAGACUUGUAUUUUAGGCACUUUGGUCUAGAGCCUGCUGUCCCAUGUCAGGGGUGGGGGGAGUUUUGAGCACUGAAAAAAUUUUAUUAAUAUAUUUUAAUGUGUUCUUUGAAGUAUCACUUGGUGAUUUUUUAAAAUCCAAUGUCUUUAAAAGGAUCCAUGUUAUUGUAUUGUAAAUAAUUUAGAUGAUUAAAAUGGAUUGUUUUAAACAAUA